Molecule: ribosomal RNA, 253 nt
Filed under: uncultured prokaryote
Description: partial 16S ribosomal RNA
Rfam family: Bacterial small subunit ribosomal RNA
Source: RNAcentral
ACGUAGGGUGCGAGCGUUAAUCGGAAUUACUGGGCGUAAAGGGUGCGCAGGUGGUUACGUAAGUCUGAUGUGAAAGCCCCGGGCUCAACCUGGGAACUGCGUCUGAUACUGGUUGGCUUGAGUUUGGGAGAGGGAUGCGGAAUUCCAGGUGUAGCGGUGAAAUGCGUAGAUAUCUGGAGGAACACCGGUGGCGAAGGCGGCAUCCUGGACCAACACUGACGCUGAGGAGCGAAAGCCAGGGGAGCAAACGGGA